Molecule: ribosomal RNA, 700 nt
Filed under: uncultured bacterium
Lineage: Bacteria
Description: bacterial SSU rRNA
Rfam family: Bacterial small subunit ribosomal RNA
Source: RNAcentral
CAAUGAAUUUGACUUAGUGGCGAACGGGUGAGUAACGCGUGAGCAACCUGCCUUUCAGAGGGGGACAACAGUUGGAAACGACUGCUAAUACCGCACAACACAUCGAGGGGGCAUCCCUUUGAUGUCAAAGAUUUAUCGCUGAAAGAUGGGCUCGCGUCUGAUUAGAUAGUUGGUGGGGUAACGGCCCACCAAGUCGACGAUCAGUAGCCGGACUGAGAGGUUGAACGGCCACAUUGGGACUGAGAUACGGCCCAGACUCCUACGGGAGGCAGCAGUGGGGAAUAUUGGGCAAUGGGGGAAACCCUGACCUAGCAACGCCGCGUGAAGGAAGAAGGCUUUCGGGUUGUAAACUUCUUUUACCAGGGACGAAGACGUGACGGUACCUGGAGAAAAAGCCACGGCUAACUACGUGCCAGCAGCCGCGGUAAUACGUAGGUGGCAAGCGUUGUCCGGAUUUACUGGGUGUAAAGGGCGUGUAGGCGGAGAUGCAAGUCAGAUGUGAAAUCUCGGGGCUCAACCCCGAAACUGCAUUUGAAACUGUAUCCCUUGAGUAUCGGAGAGGCAGGCGGAAUUCCUAGUGUAGCGGUGAAAUGCGUAGAUAUUAGGAGGAACACCAGUGGCGAAGGCGGCCUGCUGGACGACAACUGACGCUGAGGCGCGAAAGCGUGGGGAGCAAACAGGAUUAGAUACCCUGUAGUCC